UUUUUUUUUGUGGUUUUUAAUUAGAAUUGGCAAAUUUGAGUUUGUUUUCUUCUUUGCUUCAGAAAAUGAAAGAUUUAUUUCUCAUUGAUUUCUAUAGGUCAUAGAUUGAUUUCUAUAGGUCAUAGGUUUUUGAAAAAGAAACCUAAUCAAGAACACCCUUGCACACUCUCAAACCAGUAUAACAGAAAGAAUGAACUGAAUCUUGUAUUAUUCACAGAAAGGAAUGGUCUGUACAAUCAAGAUACAGGGGCAUAAU
RNAcentral lists this long non-coding RNA (256 nucleotides) under Vigna radiata. RNAcentral's name for it is "long non-coding RNA (VRAD_LNC009795)". The record is from RNAcentral. Lineage: Eukaryota; Viridiplantae; Streptophyta; Magnoliopsida; Fabales; Fabaceae.